GAUGAACGCUGACAGAAUGCUUAACACAUGCAAGUCAACUUGAAUUUGGGUUUUUAACUUAGGUUUGGGUGGCGGACGGGUGAGUAACGCGUAAAGAACUUGCCUCACAGCUAGGGACAACAUUUGGAAACGAAUGCUAAUACCUAAUAUUAUGAUAAUAGGGCAUCCUAUAAUUAUGAAAGCUAUAAGCGCUGUGAGAGAGCUUUGCGUCCCAUUAGCUAGUUGGAGAGGUAACGGCUCACCAAGGCGAUGAUGGGUAGCCGGCCUGAGAGGGUGAUCGGCCACAAGGGGACUGAGACACGGCCCUUACUCCUACGGGAGGCAGCAGUGGGGAAUAUUGGACAAUGGACCGAGAGUCUGAUCCAGCAAUUCUGCGUGCACGAUGAAGUUUUUCGGAAUGUAAAGUGCUUUCAGUUGGGAAGAAACAAAUGACGGUACCAACAGAAGAAGUGACGGCUAAAUACGUG
Molecule: ribosomal RNA, 467 nt
Filed under: uncultured bacterium
Lineage: Bacteria
Description: partial 16S ribosomal RNA
Rfam family: Bacterial small subunit ribosomal RNA
Source: RNAcentral